AAUGCUAAUACCGCAUAACAACUUUAAACAUAAGUUUUAAGUUUGAAAGAUGCAAUUGCAUCACUCAAAGAUGGACCCGCGGUGCAUUAGCUAGUUGGUGAGGUAACGGCUCACCAAGGCCACGAUGCAUAGCCGACCUGAGAGGGUGAUCGGCCACAUUGGGACUGAGACACGGCCCAAACUCCUACGGGAGGCAGCAGUAGGGAAUCUUCGGCAAUGGACGAAAGUCUGACCGAGCAACGCCGCGUGAGUGAAGAAGGUUUUCGGAUCGUAAAACUCUGUUGUUAGAGAAGAACAAGGAUGAGAGUAACUGUUCAUCCCUUGACGGUAUCUAACCAGAAAGCCACGGCUAACUACGUGCCAGCAGCCGCGGUAAUACGUAGGUGGCAAGCGUUGUCCGGAUUUAUUGGGCGUAAAGCGAGCGCAGGUGGUUUAUUAAGUCUGGUGUAAAAGGCAGUGGCUCAACCAUUGUAUGCAUUGGAAACUGGGAGACUUGAGUGCAGAAGAGGAGAGUGGAAUUCCAUGUGUAGCGGUGAAAUGCGUAGAUAUAUGGAGGAACACCAGUGGCGAAGGCGGCUCUCUGGUCUGUAACUGACGCUGAGGCUCGAAAGCGUGGGGAGCAAACAGGAUUAGAUACCCUGGUAGUCCACGCCGUAAACGAUGAGUGCUAGAUGUAGGGAGCUAUAAGUUCUCUGUAUCGCAGCUAACGCAAUAAGCACUCCGCCUGGGGAGUACGACCGCAAGGUUGAAACUCAAAGGAAUUGACGGGGGCCCGCACAAGCGGUGGAGCAUGUGGUUUAAUUCGAAGCAACGCGAAGAACCUUACCAGGUCUUGACAUCCUUGUGCUAUUCCUAGAGAUAGGAAGUUCCUUCGGGACACGGGAUACAGGUGGUGCAUGGUUGUCGUCAGCUCGUGUCGUGAGAUGUUGGGUUAAGUCCCGCAACGAGCGCAACCCUUAUUGUUAGUUGCCAUCAUUCAGUUGGGCACUCUAGCAAGACUGCCGGUGACAAACCGGAGGAAGGUGGGGAUGACGUCAAAUCAUCAUGCCCCUUAUGACCUGGGCUACACACGUGCUACAAUGGAUGGUACAACGAGUCGCGAGACAGUGAUGUUUAGCUAAUCUCUUAAAACCAUUCUCAGUUCGGAUUGCAGGCUGCAACUCGCCUGCAUGAAGCCGGAAUCGCUAGUAAUCGCGGAUCAGCACGCCGCGGUGAAUACGUUCCCGGGCCUUGUACACACCGCCCGUCACACCACGAGAGUUGGGAGUACCCGAAGUAGGUGAGGUAACCUUUGGAGCCAGCC
This 1303-nucleotide ribosomal RNA is filed under the name Lactococcus lactis. RNAcentral's name for it is "bacterial SSU rRNA". It matches the Rfam family "Bacterial small subunit ribosomal RNA", at positions 159 to 1454 of the family's 1533-position model. The record is from RNAcentral. Lineage: Bacteria; Bacillati; Bacillota; Bacilli; Lactobacillales; Streptococcaceae.